Molecule: transfer RNA, 69 nt
Filed under: Marmota marmota marmota (Alpine marmot)
Lineage: Eukaryota; Metazoa; Chordata; Mammalia; Rodentia; Sciuridae
Also listed under: 2 other names
Rfam family: tRNA
About the family: Transfer RNA (tRNA) molecules are approximately 80 nucleotides in length.
Source: Rfam by way of RNAcentral
GGGGUUGUGGCUCAGUGGUAGAGUGCUUUCCUGGAAUGUGUGAGGCCCUGGGUUCAAUCCUCAGCACCA